GCUCGCUUAGUUCAACGGUUAGAAUACUAGCCUUACAUGCUAGGGAUGAUAGUUCGAUUCUAUCAGCGAGUA
This 72-nucleotide transfer RNA is filed under the name Pectobacterium phage My1. It matches the Rfam family "tRNA". Rfam says of the family: Transfer RNA (tRNA) molecules are approximately 80 nucleotides in length. Their secondary structure includes four short double-helical elements and three loops (D, anti-codon, and T loops). The record is from Rfam by way of RNAcentral. Lineage: Duplodnaviria; Heunggongvirae; Uroviricota; Caudoviricetes; Demerecviridae.